GAAAUAAUCAUCACUUCCAUCAAUUGAACAAACAAAAAGGCAAUAGCUUUAUAAAAAAUAUCUCCAAAUCUGAUUCAAACAGCACUUUAAAGAGCUAACAUGAAAAAAUUAUGAAGCAGAAAUGGAAUAUACAUAUCGCGUCAGCUCAUACACAGCGAUCAUUGUAUAUAAACAUCGAUGGUAAUCAGUAUAUCGACGCAUUUCAACAAAAAUAAUCAUAUUGUAAGUAUAUGGAUCAGAAUAUCUGGCUUGAAUUUUCCCCUGAACGGAGAAAAUACAUGAAAAAGCGCUCAGUAAUUU
This 300-nucleotide unclassified non-coding RNA is filed under the name Hevea brasiliensis (rubber tree). The record is from RNAcentral. Lineage: Eukaryota; Viridiplantae; Streptophyta; Magnoliopsida; Malpighiales; Euphorbiaceae.